Molecule: ribosomal RNA, 500 nt
Filed under: uncultured bacterium
Lineage: Bacteria
Description: partial 16S ribosomal RNA
Rfam family: Bacterial small subunit ribosomal RNA
Source: RNAcentral
AAUGAACGCUGGCGGCAUGCCUAAUACAUGCAAGUCGAACGGUAGCACCGGACCAAUCCUGUUGGCGAGUGGCGAACGGGCGAGGAAGGAAUCGGAACGUACCCAGCCGUGGGGUAUAAGAUAGCGAAGGUUAAGCUAAGAACACAUACGAUCUAACGGUGAAAGUGGGGGAUCGCAAGACCCAGCGCGAUUAGAGCGCACGGUAUCAGAUUAGGUAGUUGGUGGGGUAAAGGCUCACCAAGCCGACGAUCUGUAGCUGUUCUGAGAGGACGACCAGCCACACUGGGACUGAGACACGGCCCAGACUCCUACGGGAGGCAGCAGUGGGGAAUUUUGGACAAUGGGCGAAAGCCUGAUCCAGCAAUGCCGCGUGCAGGAUGAAGGCUUUCGGGUUGUAAACUGCUUUUGUACGGAACGAAAAGGCUUGGUCUAAUAAGCUGGGCUCAUGACGGUACCUUAAGAGUAAGCACCGGCUAACUACGUGCCAGCCGCCGCAGUAA